UGUACUAGGGCAAAGAAAUGCUGACUCCAUUAAAUAUCAUCACGUUUUGAUGAAAAUAUCUCAUUUUUAAUGCAUCGGAUGAAAUCUGAAUCACCACCACCAUAUCAACACUCCAAACCCAAAAACAAAAAUCCAAAUUUGCUUGAUCACUGUUUUUAAUAUUUAUUUUUAAAGAGUUGUCUUCAACACUUUAUAACAUACCACUUCCACAAUAAUAAAAAAUCAGGAAUUGUCUUCAACUUUUAAUACGAAGCAUUAAAUCUCAAAAGUGCAACACUUUAUAUUUUGGGUACGUAGGACCAAAG
This 305-nucleotide long non-coding RNA is filed under the name Lupinus angustifolius (narrow-leaved blue lupine). RNAcentral's name for it is "long non-coding RNA (LANG_LNC003679)". The record is from RNAcentral. Lineage: Eukaryota; Viridiplantae; Streptophyta; Magnoliopsida; Fabales; Fabaceae.